Molecule: ribosomal RNA, 388 nt
Filed under: uncultured bacterium
Lineage: Bacteria
Description: bacterial SSU rRNA
Rfam family: Bacterial small subunit ribosomal RNA
Source: RNAcentral
GACGAACGCUGGCGGCGUGCUUAACACAUGCAAGUCGAGCGGUAAGGCCCUUUCGGGGGUACACGAGCGGCGAACGGGUGAGUAACACGUGGGUGACCUGCCUUUAGCUCUGGGAUAAGCCCGGGAAACUGGGUCUAAUACCGGAUAUGACUCCAUGACGCAUGUUGUGGGGUGGAAAGCCUUGUGCGGCUGAGGAUGGGCCCGCGGCCUAUCAGCUUGUUGGUGGGGUGAUGGCCUACCAAGGCGACGACGGGUAGCCGGCCUGAGAGGGCGACCGGCCACACUGGGACUGAGAUACGGCCCAGACUCCUACGGGAGGCAGCAGUGGGGAAUCUUGCGCAAUGGGCGAAAGCCUGACGCAGCGACGCCGCGUGAGGGAUGACGGCCU